AGUGAACGCUGGCGGCGUGCCUAAUACAUGCAAGUAGAAGGAAGUGGCGCAAGGGUGAGUAAUCUAUAGCUAAUCUGCCCCUUGCUGGAGGACAACAGGUAGAAAUUACUGCUAAUACUUCAUAGCGAGGGCUGAGACUAUAACGUAUCAGCUAGUCGGUUGGGUAACGGCCUACCGAGGCUAUGACGCGUAACUGGUCUGAGAGGAUGAUCAGUCACAUUGGAACGGAGACACGGUACACACUCCUACGGGAGGAAGCAGUAGGGAAUAAUGCGCAAUGGGGGAAACCCUGACGCAGCAACGCCGCGUGGAGGAUGACACUUUUCGGAGAGUAAAGUCCUGUUAUUAGGGAAUCGGUACCUAACGAAUAAGCACCGGCUAACUCCGUGCCAGCAGCCGCGGUAAUAC
Molecule: ribosomal RNA, 408 nt
Filed under: uncultured bacterium
Lineage: Bacteria
Description: partial 16S ribosomal RNA
Rfam family: Bacterial small subunit ribosomal RNA
Source: RNAcentral